This 266-nucleotide ribosomal RNA is filed under the name uncultured bacterium. RNAcentral's name for it is "partial 16S ribosomal RNA". It matches the Rfam family "Bacterial small subunit ribosomal RNA", at positions 525 to 786 of the family's 1533-position model. The record is from RNAcentral.
ACAGAGGGCUCAAGCGUUAAUCGGAAUCACUGGGCUUAAAGGGUCCGCAGGCGGAUUGGAAAGUAUCUUGUGAAAUACCACGGCUCAACCGUGGAACUGCUCGGUAAACUUCCAAUCUUGAACACGGUAGGGGCCAUCGGAACUCUAGGUGGAGCGGUGAAAUGCGUAGAUAUCUAGAGGAACGCCAGAGGCGAAGGCGGAUGGCUGGGCCGUUGUUGACGCUCAGGGACGAAAGCAUGGGAGAAGCGGAAUCGGAUAGACCUACC